ACGCUAGCUACAGGCUUAACACAUGCAAGUCGAGGGGAAACGACAUCGAGAGCUUGCUUUUGAUGGGCGUCGACCGGCGCACGGGUGAGUAACGCGUAUCCAACCUGCCCACCACUUGGGGAUAACCUUGCGAAAGUAAGACUAAUACCCAAUGACAUCCCACGAAGACAUCUGAAUGGGAUUAAAGAUUUAUCGGUGAUGGAUGGGGAUGCGUCUGAUUAGCUUGUUGGCGGGGUAACGGCCCACCAAGGCGACGAUCAGUAGGGGUUCUGAGAGGAAGGUCCCCCACAUUGGAACUGAGACACGGUCCAAACUCCUACGGGAGGCAGCAGUGAGGAAUAUUGGUCAAUGGACGAGAGUCUGAACCAGCCAAGUAGCGUGCAGGAUGACGGCCCUAUGGGUUGUAAACUGCUUUUAUAAGGGAAUAAAGUGAGUCUCGUGAGACUUUUUGCAUGUACCUUAUGAAUAAGGACCGGCUAAUUCCGUGCCAGCAGCCGCGGUAAUACGGAAGGUCCGGGCGUUAUCCGGAUUUAUUGGGUUUAAAGGGAGCGUAGGCCGGAGAUUAAGCGUGUUGUGAAAUGUAGAUGCUCAACAUCUGCACUGCAGCGCGAACUGGUUUCCUUGAGUACGCACAAAGUGGGCGGAAUUCGUGGUGUAGCGGUGAAAUGCUUAGAUAUCACGAAGAACUCCGAUUGCGAAGGCAGCUCACUGGAGCGCAACUGACGCUGAAGCUCGAAAGUGCGGGUAUCGAACAGGAUUAGAUACCCUGGUAGUCCGCACGGUAAACGAUGGAUGCCCGCUGUUGGUCUGAAUAGGUCAGCGGCCAAGCGAAAGCAUUAAGCAUCCCACCUGGGGAGUACGCCGGCAACGGUG
RNAcentral lists this ribosomal RNA (873 nucleotides) under uncultured bacterium. RNAcentral describes it as "bacterial SSU rRNA". It matches the Rfam family "Bacterial small subunit ribosomal RNA", at positions 33 to 896 of the family's 1533-position model. The record is from RNAcentral.